This 2914-nucleotide ribosomal RNA is filed under the name Enterobacter hormaechei. RNAcentral's name for it is "23S ribosomal RNA". It matches the Rfam family "Bacterial large subunit ribosomal RNA". Lineage: Bacteria; Pseudomonadati; Pseudomonadota; Gammaproteobacteria; Enterobacterales; Enterobacteriaceae. The record is from RNAcentral.
GGUUAAGCGACUAAGCGUACACGGUGGAUGCCCUGGCAGUCAGAGGCGAUGAAGGACGUGCUAAUCUGCGAAAAGCGCCGGCGAGGUGAUAUGAACCUUUGACCCGGCGAUGUCCGAAUGGGGAAACCCAGUGCAAUCCGUUGCACUAUCGUUAACUGAAUACAUAGGUUAACGAGGCGAACCGGGGGAACUGAAACAUCUAAGUACCCCGAGGAAAAGAAAUCAACCGAGAUUCCCCCAGUAGCGGCGAGCGAACGGGGAGCAGCCCGGAGUCUGAAUCAGCUUGUGUGUUAGUGGAACGGUCUGGAAAGUCCGACGGUACAGGGUGAUAGUCCCGUACACGAAAAUGCACAUGCUGUGAACUCGAAGAGUAGGGCGGGACACGUGGUAUCCUGUCUGAAUAUGGGGGGACCAUCCUCCAAGGCUAAAUACUCCUGACUGACCGAUAGUGAACCAGUACCGUGAGGGAAAGGCGAAAAGAACCCCGGCGAGGGGAGUGAAAAAGAACCUGAAACCGUGUACGUACAAGCAGUGGGAGCCUCUUUAUGGGGUGACUGCGUACCUUUUGUAUAAUGGGUCAGCGACUUAUAUUCUGUAGCAAGGUUAACCGUAUAGGGGAGCCGAAGGGAAACCGAGUCUUAACUGGGCGUUAAGUUGCAGGGUAUAGACCCGAAACCCGGUGAUCUAGCCAUGGGCAGGUUGAAGGUUGGGUAACACUAACUGGAGGACCGAACCGACUAAUGUUGAAAAAUUAGCGGAUGACCUGUGGCUGGGGGUGAAAGGCCAAUCAAACCGGGAGAUAGCUGGUUCUCCCCGAAAGCUAUUUAGGUAGCGCCUCGUGAAUUCAUCUUCGGGGGUAGAGCACUGUUUCGGCUAGGGGGCCAUCCCGGCUUACCAACCCGAUGCAAACUACGAAUACCGAAGAAUGUUAUCACGGGAGACACACGGCGGGUGCUAACGUCCGUCGUGAAGAGGGAAACAACCCAGACCGCCAGCUAAGGUCCCAAAGUCAUGGUUAAGUGGGAAACGAUGUGGGAAGGCACAGACAGCCAGGAUGUUGGCUUAGAAGCAGCCAUCAUUUAAAGAAAGCGUAAUAGCUCACUGGUCGAGUCGGCCUGCGCGGAAGAUGUAACGGGGCUAAACCAUGCACCGAAGCUGCGGCAGCGACACUAUGUGUUGUUGGGUAGGGGAGCGUUCUGUAAGCCGUUGAAGGUGUGCUGUGAGGCAUGCUGGAGGUAUCAGAAGUGCGAAUGCUGACAUAAGUAACGAUAAAGCGGGUGAAAAGCCCGCUCGCCGGAAGACCAAGGGUUCCUGUCCAACGUUAAUCGGGGCAGGGUGAGUCGACCCCUAAGGCGAGGCCGAAAGGCGUAGUCGAUGGGAAACAGGUUAAUAUUCCUGUACUUGGUGUUACUGCGAAGGGGGGACGGAGAAGGCUAUGUCAGCCGGGCGACGGUUGUCCCGGUUUAAGCAUGUAGGCGGAGGUUCCAGGUAAAUCCGGUACCUUUUAACGCUGAGGUGUGAUGACGAGGCACUACGGUGCUGAAGUGAUAAAUGCCCUGCUUCCAGGAAAAGCCUCUAAGCAUCAGGUAACACGAAAUCGUACCCCAAACCGACACAGGUGGUCAGGUAGAGAAUACCAAGGCGCUUGAGAGAACUCGGGUGAAGGAACUAGGCAAAAUGGUGCCGUAACUUCGGGAGAAGGCACGCUGAUGUGUAGGUGAAGCCCCUGCGGGUGGAGCUGAGCUGAAAUCAGUCGAAGAUACCAGCUGGCUGCAACUGUUUAUUAAAAACACAGCACUGUGCAAACACGAAAGUGGACGUAUACGGUGUGACGCCUGCCCGGUGCCGGAAGGUUAAUUGAUGGGGUUAGCGGCAACGCGAAGCUCUUGAUCGAAGCCCCGGUAAACGGCGGCCGUAACUAUAACGGUCCUAAGGUAGCGAAAUUCCUUGUCGGGUAAGUUCCGACCUGCACGAAUGGCGUAAUGAUGGCCAGGCUGUCUCCACCCGAGACUCAGUGAAAUUGAACUCGCUGUGAAGAUGCAGUGUACCCGCGGCAAGACGGAAAGACCCCGUGAACCUUUACUAUAGCUUGACACUGAACACUGGUCCUUGAUGUGUAGGAUAGGUGGGAGGCUUUGAAGCGUGGACGCCAGUCUGCGUGGAGCCAACCUUGAAAUACCACCCUUUAAUGGCUGGUGUUCUAACGUAGACCCGUGACCCGGGUUGCGGACAGUGUCUGGUCUGGUGGGUAGUUUGACUGGGGCGGUCUCCUCCCAAAGAGUAACGGAGGAGCACGAAGGUUGGCUAAUCCUGGUCGGACAUCAGGAGGUUAGUGCAAUGGCAUAAGCCAGCUUGACUGCGAGCGUGACGGCGCGAGCAGGUGCGAAAGCAGGUCAUAGUGAUCCGGUGGUUCUGAAUGGAAGGGCCAUCGCUCAACGGAUAAAAGGUACUCCGGGGAUAACAGGCUGAUACCGCCCAAGAGUUCAUAUCGACGGCGGUGUUUGGCACCUCGAUGUCGGCUCAUCACAUCCUGGGGCUGAAGUAGGUCCCAAGGGUAUGGCUGUUCGCCAUUUAAAGUGGUACGCGAGCUGGGUUUAGAACGUCGUGAGACAGUUCGGUCCCUAUCUGCCGUGGGCGCUGGAGAAUUGAGGGGGGCUGCUCCUAGUACGAGAGGACCGGAGUGGACGCAUCACUGGUGUUCGGGUUGUCAUGCCAAUGGCACUGCCCGGUAGCUAAAUGCGGAAGAGAUAAGUGCUGAAAGCAUCUAAGCACGAAACUUGCCCCGAGAUGAGUUCUCCCUGAGACCUUGAGUCUCCUGAAGGAACGUUAAAGACUAUGACGUUGAUAGGUCGGGUGUGUAAGCGCAGCGAUGCGUUGAGCUAACCGAUACUAAUGAACCGUGAGGCUUAACCUU